This is a long non-coding RNA of Megalobrama amblycephala (Wuchang bream), 569 nucleotides long. RefSeq lists it as uncharacterized. The transcript is spliced from 3 exons. Lineage: Eukaryota; Metazoa; Chordata; Actinopteri; Cypriniformes; Xenocyprididae. The record is from RefSeq and is a predicted model, not a curated record.
GGAUGUAAUUUGAAUGUGUUAAUAAAUUUAAGUUAAAUGCACUUAAAUUAUUAAGUUUUUCUCCUGACCACGCCUCUUACACAUUGGUUUACGGCAGGUAAUGACGCCAUUUUGUCGUGGUGUGUGUGAAUUCAAGGAGCUGUUGAUGAGAAGUUGGAACAUUUGCCUUUUUAUCUUUUCCCCCCCUGAGAGACUGUUUGUGAGCAGUGAAAAUCGUUUGUUAAAGUUUAAACGACGGAACUGUUUUCUCCGGUUAGCUAGUGUUCUCUCUCGCGUGCGGUGGAUCACCGUGCAUGAACCCCUGAUCGGUGAGUUCGACGCGCGUUAUUUCGUCGUUUGUUUCUUUUUCAUACGAGGAGCUGUUGUUGGGCGUGUAAACUUAGUUUGAACCUCUGGCUGUCGGCGAACACCGCGGCCGCGGCCGCGCCCGCACCCGCGCUUCCAGCAGAGGAGGGAGGAUGAAGCGCGAAAAUGGUCAAGAAGAGAUGCUUUGGAUUAGAAGUAAAAGUUGUCAACGACGAGCCUGACAUCAGCCUGAUGGUACUUCAAUGGCCAGCUCUUUCUACAGU